GUGGGGAAUCUUGCGCAAUGGGCGAAAGCCUGACGCAGCCAUGCCGCGUGAAUGAUGAAGGUCUUAGGAUUGUAAAAUUCUUUCACCGGGGACGAUAAUGACGGUACCCGGAGAAGAAGCCCCGGCUAACUUCGUGCCAGCAGCCGCGGUAAUACGAAGGGGGCUAGCGUUGCUCGGAAUUACUGGGCGUAAAGGGCGCGUAGGCGGACAGUUUAGUCAGAGGUGAAAGCCCAGGGCUCAACCUUGGAAUUGCCUUUGAGACUGGCUGUCUUGAGUACGGGAGAGAUGAGUGGAACUCCGAGUGUAGAGGUGAAAUUCGUAGAUAUUCGGAAGAACACCAGUGGCGAAGGCGACUCACUGGCCCGUUACUGACGCUGAGGCGCGAAAGCGUGGGGAGCAAACAGGAUUAGAUACCCGAGUAGUCC
Molecule: ribosomal RNA, 425 nt
Filed under: uncultured bacterium
Lineage: Bacteria
Description: partial 16S ribosomal RNA
Rfam family: Bacterial small subunit ribosomal RNA
Source: RNAcentral